This is a small nuclear RNA of Pygocentrus nattereri (red-bellied piranha), 157 nucleotides long. Its record names the gene U1. It matches the Rfam family "U1 spliceosomal RNA". Rfam says of the family: U1 is a small nuclear RNA (snRNA) component of the spliceosome (involved in pre-mRNA splicing). Its 5' end forms complementary base pairs with the 5' splice junction, thus defining the 5' donor site of an intron. There are significant differences in sequence and secondary structure between metazoan and yeast U1 snRNAs, the latter being much longer (568 nucleotides as compared to 164 nucleotides in human). The record is from Ensembl. NCBI's taxonomy places the organism in Eukaryota, Metazoa, Chordata, Actinopteri, Characiformes, Serrasalmidae.
AUACUUGACUGACUGGGGCGAUACCAUGAUCACAAAGAUGGUUCACCCAGGGUGAGGCACCAUUGCACUUCGGUGGUGCUGACCCUUGCGAAUUCCCCAAAUGCGGGAAGCUCAACUGCAUGAUUUCUGGUAGGGGGGGAAUGUGUUUGCACCCCAA